RNAcentral lists this ribosomal RNA (443 nucleotides) under uncultured bacterium. RNAcentral's name for it is "SSU rRNA". It matches the Rfam family "Bacterial small subunit ribosomal RNA", at positions 26 to 518 of the family's 1533-position model. The record is from RNAcentral.
AGAACGAACGCUGGCGGCACGCCUAACACAUGCAAGUCGAGCGCCCAGCAAUGGGAGCGGCGGACGGGUGAGUAACACGUGGGAAUAUGCCUUUCGGUACGGAACAACUCAGGGAAACUUGAGCUAAUGCCGUAUACGCCCUUACGGGGAAAGAUUUAUCGCCGAAAGAUUAGCCCGCGUCUGAUUAGCUAGUUGGUGAGGUAAUGGCUCACCAAGGCUUCGAUCAGUAGCUGGUUUGAGAGAACGACCAGCCACACUGGGACUGAGACACGGCCCAGACUCCUACGGGAGGCAGCAGUGGGGAAUCUUGGACAAUGGGGGAAACCCUGAUCCAGCGAUGCCGCGUGAGUGAUGAAGGCCUUCGGGUUGUAAAACUCUUUCGACGGGGACGAUAAUGACGGUACCGUAGAAGAAGCUCCGGCUAACUUCGUGCCAGCAGCCGC